UUACGGGAGGCAGCAGUGAGGAAUAUUGGACAAUGGGCGAAAGCAUGAUCCAGCCAUGCCGCAUGAGUGAUGAAGGCCCUAGGGUUGUAAAGCUCUUUAGACGGGGAUGAUAAUGACGGUACCCGUAGAAGAAGCCAGGGUUAAUUUGGUGCCAGCAGCCGGGGUAAUAGGAAUGUGGCAAGGGUUGUUGGGAAUCAUUGGGGGUAAAGAAUGGGUGGGGGGCUUGACAAGUCAGGAGUGAAAUCCCAGGGUUCAACCCGGGAAUUGCUUUUGAAACUGUCUUGUUAGAGUCCGGGAGGGGUGGGGGGAAUUCCGAGGGUAGAGGUGAAAUUGGCAGAUAUUGGGAGGAACACCAGUGGCGUAGGCGGCCAAUUGGACGGGAACUGACGUUGAGGCAUGAAAGUGUGGGGAGCAAACAGGAUUAGAUACCCUGGUAGUCCACACCGUAAACGAUGUGUGCUAGUUGUUGGGCAGCUUAGCUGUUCAGUGACGGAGCUAACG
This 501-nucleotide ribosomal RNA is filed under the name uncultured Alphaproteobacteria bacterium. RNAcentral's name for it is "bacterial SSU rRNA". It matches the Rfam family "Bacterial small subunit ribosomal RNA", at positions 339 to 857 of the family's 1533-position model. Lineage: Bacteria; Pseudomonadati; Pseudomonadota; Alphaproteobacteria. The record is from RNAcentral.